AGCAGCCGCGGUAAUUCCAGCUCCAAUAGCGUAUAUUAAAGUUGUUGCAGUUAAAAGCUCGUAGUUGAAUUUCGGGGUUAGUAGGUUGGUCAUGCCUCUGGUAUGUACUGGUCUCACUGAUUCCUCCUUCCUGAUGAGCCGUAAUGCCAUUAAUUUGGUGUUGCGGGGAAUUUGGACUGUUACUUUGAAAAAUUGAGUGUUUAAAGCAAGCUAACGCUUGAAUACAUUAGCAUGGAAUAAUGAAAUAGGACGUUCGAUCCUAUUUUGUUGGUUUCUAGGAUUGACGUAAUGGUUAAUAGGGAUAGUUGGGGGCAUUAGUAUUCAAUUGUCAGAGGUGAAAUUCUUGGAUUUAUUGAAGACUAACUACUGCGAAAGCAUUUGCCAAGGAUGUUUUCAUUAAUCAAGAACGAAAGUUAGGGAUCGAAGACGAUCAGAUACCGUCGUAGUCUUAACCAUAAACUAUGCCGACUAGGGAUCGGAUGAUGUUAAUUUUUUAAUGUACUCAUUCGGCGCCUUAACC
This 520-nucleotide unclassified non-coding RNA is filed under the name uncultured Glomus. Its description in RNAcentral is "SSU rRNA". It matches the Rfam family "Eukaryotic small subunit ribosomal RNA", at positions 569 to 1093 of the family's 1831-position model. Lineage: Eukaryota; Fungi; Glomeromycota; Glomeromycetes; Glomerales; Glomeraceae. The record is from RNAcentral.